This 450-nucleotide ribosomal RNA is filed under the name uncultured bacterium. Its description in RNAcentral is "bacterial SSU rRNA". It matches the Rfam family "Bacterial small subunit ribosomal RNA", at positions 354 to 796 of the family's 1533-position model. The record is from RNAcentral.
GUGGGGAAUUUUGGACAAUGGGCGAAAGCCUGAUCCAGCCAUGCCGCGUGCAGGAUGAAGGCCUUCGGGUUGUAAACUGCUUUUGUACGGAACGAAAAGACUCCUUCUAAUAAAGGGGGUCCAUGACGGUACCGUAAGAAUAAGCACCGGCUAACUACGUGCCAGCAGCCGCGGUAAUACGUAGGGUGCAAGCGUUAAUCGGAAUUACUGGGCGUAAAGCGUGCGCAGGCGGUUAUAUAAGACAGAUGUGAAAUCCCCGGGCUCAACCUGGGAACUGCAUUUGUUACUGUAUAGCUAGAGUACGGUAGAGGGGGAUGGAAUUCCGCGUGUAGCAGUGAAAUGCGUAGAUAUGCGGAGGAACACCGAUGGCGAAGGCAAUCCCCUGGACCUGUACUGACGCUCAUGCACGAAAGCGUGGGGAGCAAACAGGAUUAGAUACCCCAGUAGUCC